UAGGGAAUCUUCCACAAUGGACGCAAGUCUGAUGGAGCAACGCCGCGUGAGUGAAGAAGGUUUUCGGACCGUAAAGCUCUGUUGUUGGUGAAGAAGGAUAGAGGUAGUAACUGGCCUUUAUUUGACGGUAAUCAACCAGAAAGUCACGGCUAACUACGUGCCAGCAGCCGCGGUAAUACGUAGGUGGCAAGCGUUGUCCGGAUUUAUUGGGCGUAAAGCGAGCGCAGGCGGAAGAAUAAGUCUGAUGUGAAAGCCCUCGGCUUAACCGAGGAAUUGCAUCGGAAACUGUUUUCUUGAGUGCAGAAGAGGAGAGUAGAACUCCAUGUGUAGCGGUGGAAUGCGUAGAUAUAUGGAAGAAUACCAGUGGCGAAGGCGGCUCCCUGGUCUGCAACUGACGCUGAGGCUCGAAAGCAUGGGUAGCGAACAGGAUUAGAUACCCUGGUAGUCCAUGCCGUAAACGAUGAGUGCUAAGUGUUGGGAGGCUUCCGCCUCUCAGUGCUGCAGCUAACGCAUUAAGCACUCCGCCUGGGGAGUACGACCGCAAGGUUGAAAC
RNAcentral lists this ribosomal RNA (553 nucleotides) under uncultured bacterium. RNAcentral's name for it is "partial 16S ribosomal RNA". It matches the Rfam family "Bacterial small subunit ribosomal RNA", at positions 355 to 900 of the family's 1533-position model. The record is from RNAcentral.